Molecule: long non-coding RNA, 778 nt
Organism: Ananas comosus (pineapple)
Lineage: Eukaryota; Viridiplantae; Streptophyta; Magnoliopsida; Poales; Bromeliaceae
Exons: 2
Source: RefSeq, a predicted model, not a curated record
GAAAGCUACUGAGCACGACCUUACUUGAACAGGAUCUGUUCUAUAGGUUGUACUACUGUAUCCUUGAGUGUAAAGGAGACAAGCAACAAAGUCUGGUGGAUGAAACAUGACCUCAGAGCCAGAGCGUGAUUGACGGCUGAGAUUCGCUGCGAAUCUCCUGCUGUGGAGGAUCGUCCCUGACCGGCCGAAAGCCAGUCGGGUUGGCUCUGAGGUUGUCUGACAGACUCAACCCAAUUUUUUUCUUUUUUUUUAUUUCUCUCUUUUUGGUUGUUGUCGUGCGAAGGGUGUUCGAGAUAAUGCCUAAAAGAAAAUUUUGAUGCGGCAUAAGUAGUUUUGUUGAUGCAUGUUUAGUGUUUGAUGAAAGCUGUUCGACGGGAAUGCCUAAAAGAGAUUAGGUUCGACAGAAUGUGGGGGGCGGCGCGGCAGGUGGGGUCGCAGACACCGACGACGUACGAGUCAGUGGCGGGUGGGGAGAACUGGACACGGAUGGACGUGCGGUCGGCGGAGGACGAGGGGCCGAUCCAGAUCGACAAGGACCAAGAAAAGGUCGACGACCCCGUCGCCGGAGACUGGCGAGUGAUAGCUAGUGGUUGGUACAAAUUUACUAUAUUUCUGAUGAAUUAAUGCAUGCAUGCAUGCAUAUGUAUGUUGUUGUGCGCGUAGUUUUAGUUUGUAUGUGAAUUUGUAUGAGUUUGUGUUUAUGUUGUUGUGCGCGUGGUUUUAGUAGUAUGCUUGUUUUGGUGUUUAUGAAUGAGAAUGUAUGCGUUUUGUUUUGUUU